This 411-nucleotide ribosomal RNA is filed under the name Triticum aestivum (bread wheat). Its description in RNAcentral is "partial small subunit ribosomal RNA". Lineage: Eukaryota; Viridiplantae; Streptophyta; Magnoliopsida; Poales; Poaceae. The record is from RNAcentral.
AUGACUAGGGAUAACCUUAGGAAGAGACACAUCAUCAAACCCCUUGAUUGUGUUUACUGCUUGGAACAAGAGUCUUGUUCUCACCUAUUUUUUGAAUGUAUAGUUGCUAAACAUCUCUGGGCCCACAUUGAGGAAUAUUUCUCUAGUCAGAUUGGCUCAUCCUUCAAAUCUAUCGCCAGAUUCUGGAUUGCUACCAAAAAGUGCUCAAUUUUAAACACUGCUAACUUAGCUGUCCUUUGGUGCCUCUAGAAAUAUAGAAAUGCUAUGAUUUUCAGUAACACCUCCUGGAUUUCCAUUCCGUAGGUCUUGAGGUUGAUCAGGAACAUGGUGAGGAACUGGGCGAUUCUCUCCUCCGGAUCGGACAAGGACAAGUUGAUGAGCUACGUGGAAACCCUAACAAGAUCCCUCUAG